This 269-nucleotide ribosomal RNA is filed under the name uncultured Flavobacteriales bacterium. RNAcentral describes it as "partial 16S ribosomal RNA". It matches the Rfam family "Bacterial small subunit ribosomal RNA", at positions 534 to 802 of the family's 1533-position model. Lineage: Bacteria; Pseudomonadati; Bacteroidota; Flavobacteriia; Flavobacteriales. The record is from RNAcentral.
UCAAGCGUUAUCCGGAAUCAUUGGGUUUAAAGGGUCCGUAGGCGGGACAAUAAGUCAGCGGUGAAAGUCUGUGGCUCAACCAUAGAAUUGCCAUUGAUACUGUUGUUCUUGAGUGUUUAUGAAGUGGUUGGAAUAUGUAGUGUAGCGGUGAAAUGCAUAGAUAUUACAUAGAACACCGAUUGCGAAGGCAGAUCACUAAUAAAAUACUGACGCUGAUGGACGAAAGCGUAGGUAGCGAACAGGAUUAGAUACCCUGGUAGUCAAGGGCG